GAUGAACGCUGGCGGCGUGCCUAAUACAUGCAAGUCGAGCGAACGGACGAGAAGCUUGCUCCUCUGAUGUUAGCGGCGGACGGGUGAGUAACACGUGGAUAACCUACCUAUAAGACUGGGAUAACUUCGGGAAACCGGAGCUAAUACCGGAUAAUAUUUUGAACCGCAUGGUUCAAAAGUGAAAGAAGGUCUUGCUGUCACUUAUAGAUGGAUCCGCGCUGCAUUAGCUAGUUGGUAAGGUAACGGCUUACCAAGGCAACGAUGCAUAGCCGACCUGAGAGGGAGAUCGGCCACACUGGAACUGAGACACGGUCCAGACUCCGACGGGAGGCAGCAGUAGGGAAUCUUCCGCAAUGGGCGAAAGCCUGACGUAGCAAAGCCGCGUGAGUGAUGAAGGUCUUCUGAUCGUAAAACUCUGUUAUUAGGGAAGAUCAAAUGUGUAAGUACCUGUGCACAUCUUGACGGUACCUAAUCAGAAAGCCACGGCUAACUACGUG
This 497-nucleotide ribosomal RNA is filed under the name uncultured bacterium. Its description in RNAcentral is "partial 16S ribosomal RNA". It matches the Rfam family "Bacterial small subunit ribosomal RNA", at positions 28 to 507 of the family's 1533-position model. The record is from RNAcentral.